CUGACAUUUCUGGCCAUUGGCUGGAUGAUUUGGGGCAACCUAGGCAACAUUCUGGGCCCUUAGGAAUUGUAGUGUUGGUAACCUUUGAGCAAAAAGUAAAUGUGUCAGCGAGUACCAUUCACAUGGAUUCAGUGGGAAGUUUUUAAAUGUUAAAAAUUCUAGUUUCCUCUUUCCUUUCUUUCCUCCCACCCUCCCCCUCAGCCAAUACAUUUUAUUUGCCAAUAGGUCAAGGAAGUCAGACUACCUCCGGCUUGGAAGUCUGCAUGGUCACUUUGGUCCCUGGUAGGAAGCCCACCUUGGCCAUGAUUCCAGAUGUUGACUGCCUGCUUUGGGCCAUUGGGCGGGACCCAAAUUCCAGGAGCCUGAAUUUAAACAAACUGGUCCGGACCUUGUUUGUCAGCGAUCUGCCUCUGGAUGUCAAACCUCGGGAGCUCUAUCUGCUUUUCAGACCAUUUAAGGGCUACAAAGGCUCUCUUAUAAAGCUCAUAUCUAAGCAGUAAGAAUUUCAGACUUGCAUGUAAG
Molecule: non-coding RNA, 522 nt
Organism: Manis javanica (Malayan pangolin)
Lineage: Eukaryota; Metazoa; Chordata; Mammalia; Pholidota; Manidae
Source: RefSeq, a predicted model, not a curated record